UACGUAGGGGGCUAGCGUUGUCCGGAAUCAUUGGGCGUAAAGCGCGUGUAGGCGGCCCGGUAAGUCCGCUGUGAAAGUCGAGGGCUCAACCCUCGAAAGCCGGUGGAUACUGUCGGGCUCGAGUGCGGGAGAGGCGAGUGGAAUUCCUGGUGUAGCGGUGAAAUGCGCAGAUAUCAGGAGGAACACCGAUUGCGAAGGCAGCUCGCUGGAACGUAACUGACGCUGAUGCACGAAAGCUAGGGGAGCAAACAGG
This 253-nucleotide ribosomal RNA is filed under the name uncultured bacterium. Its description in RNAcentral is "partial 16S ribosomal RNA". It matches the Rfam family "Bacterial small subunit ribosomal RNA", at positions 524 to 776 of the family's 1533-position model. The record is from RNAcentral.